CUGCCUUUGUCUUGAAAUUGAUCAUCAUUGGCUUUGAAAUGCCUGCUGCCAUCUCUAUUGCCUCGAUUUCCCCUUCCUCUGUCUCUACUCCUUCCUCUAGAGUUUGAGGAAUGAGUAGAAGCCUUUAAAGCUUGCUCUUUUGUAGUUGAACUUCGGUUCAGCUUUUGUUUGUAAACCAACAAGGAGCUUUAGAGUUCAUCAAAGGAGAGUGCGUCUAUGUC
This 221-nucleotide long non-coding RNA is filed under the name Elaeis guineensis (African oil palm). RNAcentral's name for it is "long non-coding RNA (EGUI_LNC005080)". Lineage: Eukaryota; Viridiplantae; Streptophyta; Magnoliopsida; Arecales; Arecaceae. The record is from RNAcentral.